This 253-nucleotide ribosomal RNA is filed under the name uncultured bacterium. RNAcentral describes it as "partial 16S ribosomal RNA". It matches the Rfam family "Bacterial small subunit ribosomal RNA", at positions 524 to 776 of the family's 1533-position model. The record is from RNAcentral.
UACAGGGGGUGCAAACGUUGCUCGGAAUCAUUGGGCGUAAAGCGCACGUAGGCGGUUUGUUAUGUCGGACGUGAAAGCCCUUGGCUCAACUGAGGAAGUGCAUCCGAAACUGGCAAGCUAGAGUACUAAAGAGGGUCGCGGAAUUCCCGGUGUAGAGGUGAAAUUCGUAGAUAUCGGGAGGAACACCGGUGGCGAAGGCGGCGACCUGGGUAGAUACUGACGCUGAGGUGCGAAAGCGUGGGGAGCAAACAGG